UGGGGAAUUUUGGACAAUGGGCGAAAGCCUGAUCCAGCAAUGCCGCGUGUGUGAAGAAGGCCUUCGGGUUGUAAAGCACUUUUGUCCGGAAAGAAAUCCUUGGCUCUAAUACAGUCGGGGGAUGACGGUACCGGAAGAAUAAGCACCGGCUAACUACGUGCCAGCAGCCGCGGUAAUACGUAGGGUGCAAGCGUUAAUCGGAAUUACUGGGCGUAAAGCGUGCGCAGGCGGUUUGCUAAGACCGAUGUGAAAUCCCCGGGCUCAACCUGGGAACUGCAUUGGUGACUGGCAGGCUAGAGUAUGGCAGAGGGGGGUAGAAUUCCACGUGUAGCAGUGAAAUGCGUAGAGAUGUGGAGGAAUACCGAUGGCGAAGGCAGCCCCCUGAGCCAAUACUGACGCUCAUGCACGAAAGCGUGGGGAGCAAACAGGAUUAGAUACCCUGGUAGUCCACGCCCUAAAACGAUGUCAACUAGUUGUUGGGGAUUCAUUUCCUUAGUAACGUAGCUAACGCGUGAAGUUGACCGCCUGGGGAGUAACGGUCGCAAGAUUAAAACUCAAAUGAAUUGACGGGGUCAUAGCUGUUUCCU
Molecule: ribosomal RNA, 587 nt
Filed under: uncultured bacterium
Lineage: Bacteria
Description: partial 16S ribosomal RNA
Rfam family: Bacterial small subunit ribosomal RNA
Source: RNAcentral